GACAGAGGCCUCGAGCGUUAGGCGGAAUCACUGGGCUUAAAGCGUGUGUAGGCGGAUCGUUAAGUGUCUUGUGAAAUCCCACGGCUCAACCGUGGAACUGCUGGGCAUACUGGCGAUCUUGGGCCACCUAGGGGCAGUCGGAACAAACGGUGGAGCGGUGAAAUGCGUAGAUAUCGUUUGGAACGCCGAUGGUGAAAACAGACUGCUGGGGGUGUGCAGACGCUGAGACACGAAAGCCAGGGGAGCAAACGGG
This 253-nucleotide ribosomal RNA is filed under the name uncultured bacterium. RNAcentral describes it as "partial 16S ribosomal RNA". It matches the Rfam family "Bacterial small subunit ribosomal RNA", at positions 524 to 776 of the family's 1533-position model. The record is from RNAcentral.